CUCUCCUCCCGCCCCUUUCUGCUGCUAUGGGGGGCGCUCUGGUCACGGAACGCUGCCCGGAGCCGCGCGAGGGAGGACCCGACGCGCGGCGUUUACCCGGCGCAGCGUUCCACCGCCAGGGUUUGGCUGGGACACUGUUAGGCGGGCGUUCCCCCAACCCGCCCCUUGUGAAGUCCACCUGCUGAGACUGAUAUGGAUCCCCUGCGAACUUGAUGCUGUCCGCUUGGAGAACGUGGAGAACUUUCAGAGGAGGGGUUACUUCGCCUUGAGUGAAAAUUAAGACUCAAAGGAAAAGAAUAGCUCUCCAGACCCCCAGCUGGCCAUGUGGUGAGUUCGGGGCCCAAAUCAAGUCGUACCAGCAAUCAGGGAACUCCCUCUAUCUGUUUUGAAUGGAUGCACAGCAGUCACAAGCCUGGAAAGAUGGUGUCACAGUCUACAGUCAGGCAGGAUUCUCCUGAGGACCCCUGGGAAGGGAUCACCCAUUACUCUGGCAUUAUUGAUGGUUCGCCUGGACUCCUGAACACUGACCAUCCUCCUUGCCAAUUAGACAUCAGGCUCAUGAGGCACAAAGCUGCCUGGAUCAACCCCCAGGAUGUGCAGCAACAGCUGCAGGACUUGCAACCUCAGGUGCCAGCAGCCGGGAACAGUGGGACCCAUUUUGUGACAGAUGCUGCCUCUCCCUCAGGCCCUUCACCUUCGUGCCUCAGGGACUCCCUGGCAGAGACAACAUUGUCUGAGGCUACUACAGACUCCACUGGCAGCGCUUCUCCCCAUGGCUCGAGGGAAAAGAGUAGCAGGUUCUCUCUGUCCUCAACAGAAGUACACAUGGUCCGCCCAGGAUACUCUCAUCAAGUGUCUCUGCCCACAAGCCCUAGGAUUUUGGUCACCUCCCCAUAUCCUGAGACUGACAGUGCUUUUUUUGAGCCUUCCCACCUGACAUCUGCUGCUGAAGGUGCUGUUCAAGUCAGUAGAAGAACCAUUUCUUUGAAUUCCUUCUCACCAGAAGUAUUUGUGCUGCCUGUUGAUGUAGAAAAGGAAAAUGCCCACUUUCAUGUUGCAGAUAUGAUUAUAUCAGCAAUGGAGAAAAUGAAGUGUAACAUUCUGAGUCAACAGCAGACAGAGAACUGGAGUAAAGAAGAAGCCAGUGGGUUACUUGGGAGUGAUCAGCCUGACUCUGACGUGACUUUUGAUACCAACAUAAAGCAAGAGUCUGGGUCUUCCACUUCUUCAUAUAGUGGCUAUGAAGGUUGUGCUGUGUUACAGGUCAGCCCAGUGACUGAAACAGGUACUUACCAUGAUGUGAAAGAGAUUUGCCAAUGCGACAUUGAUGAAUUUGUUAUUUUAGAGCUUGGAGAUUUUAAUGAUAUCACAGAAACCUGUAGCUGUUCCUGCAGCUCCUCUAAGAGUGUCACUUAUGAGCCAGAGUUCAAUUCUGCUGAACUAUUAGCCAAAGAGCUGUACCGCGUGUUCCGGAAGUGCUGGAUACUGUCACUAGUUAAUUCUCAGCUGGCAGGUUCCCUGAGUGCAGCUGGCUCAAUAGUUGUAAAUGAAGAGCGUGUCCGAAAAAACUUUGAAUCCAGUAUGAAUGUUGUACAGGAAAUUAAAUUUAAGUCUAGGAUCAGAGGGACUGAAGACUGGGCUCCUCCUAGAUUUCAAAUCAUAUUUAAUAUUCAUCCACCACUCAAGAGGGACCUUGUGGUAGCAGCCCAGAAUUUUUUCUGUGCCGGCUGUGGAACUCCGAUAGAGCCUAAGUUUGUGAAGCGGCUCCGGUACUGCGAAUACCUAGGGAAGUAUUUCUGUGACUGCUGCCACUCAUAUGCAGAGUCCUGCAUCCCUGCCCGAAUCCUGAUGAUGUGGGACUUCAAGAAGUACUAUGUCAGCAAUUUCUCCAAACGGCUGCUGGACAGCAUAUGGCACCAGCCCAUUUUCAAUUUGCUGAGCAUUGGCCAAAGCCUGUAUGCGAAAGCCAAGGAACUGGGCAGAGUGAAGGAAAUUCAGGAACAGCUCUUCCAUAUCAAGAAGCUGUUGAAGACCUGUAGGUUUGCUGACAGUGCAUUAAAGGAGUUUGAGCAGGUGCCGGGACACUUGACUGAUGAGCUCCACCUGUUCUCCCUUGAGGACCUGGCCAGGAUCAAGAAAGGGCUGCUGGCACCCUUACUCAAGGUCAUUCUGAAAGCUUCCCUUGCACACGUGGCCGGCUGCGAGCUGUGUCAAGGAAAGGGCUUUAUUUGUGAAUUUUGCCAGAAUACGACUGUCAUCUUCCCAUUUCAGACAGCAACGUGUAGAAGAUGUUCAGUGUGCAGGGCUUGCUUUCACAAACAGUGCUUCCAGUCCUCCGAGUGCCCCCGGUGUGCGAGGAUCACAGCUAGGAGAAAACUUCGGGAAAGCAUGGCCUCUGCAGCAACAUGAUGCCCCUGAGUAUUGUGAAAAAGACUGUUCAACAUGCCUUAAGAUAACAUCGAUUUGUGUCCAUUAUUGGUGACAUUGUUUUAGAUAAUCUGGUAUUGUAUAGUAAGGAAAAAGAUGGUCUAUAUUCUCUUUAUUGCAUAUACUUAAUGUUUCAAAAGAAUGCAGAUUCUGUGAUUAAGCACAGGGUUGAUAGUAGGGGUUUUGUUUACAAAUGUUCUGUUUUGGCUGCUAUUGGUUUUUUAAAGAGGUUUUUUAUACUUUUGUAUUUGAAUAGUUAUCUUUAACCGAUGUUGAGCCAGUGUGUGUGUGUGUGUGUGUACAUAUGUGAAUUGUAACUGACAAGAUGAAUUACUCAAUUUCUCUCCCUCUAAAGCUUGUUUGAUGAAACUGCUUGUUUCUUUCAGUGAACAAAAAUAUGACCCCAGAUCUGUUUGUUCUGGCUUUUAUUUCUUCAAGAAACAGACUUCCACUUAAAUGCCAUUUUGUGAUUGUGUCAAUCAUACACAUUUUAUUUACUCCAGAGUUUGAAUAGAGAGUACACAUUUCUUCUGCAGGUUUAUUUCAUGAUGAGUUUGAGUUGCUUAGCAGGGCGUGUGGAUCCAGUUGAAGUGCAGUUUGAAGCAGCUGCCUCUAGAUGGCAUUCUUUCAGGUGGCACAAAUCGAACCUGUAUUUGUCGUCUCUGUUCCACACGCUGUAAUGUCAAGGGACGCAGGAGUAGAACUCCAUCCCUGCCCUUGAGGAUCUUGCUUUAUAGAUGUAAAACUGAACAUACGGUAUUUGCAGAUUUAAACAAAUUGGGGGAAAUAAUGAACAGUGUGAUUCUAGUAAUAACAUUAAAAUCAUAGACAUCGACUAAUAAGGUUAAAUAAAUCACAAAACCUUUAUGAAUUUCUUUUUCCUAGUAGUUCUUAUAUGUUUUCCUGAAACAUGUGAGCCUAUUCUUUUUUCUUCUACUUUCUAUAUACUUUCUCCUACUUGAGAAAGGGGCCUUGAGGCUGGGUCCCUUCAUGGUAUAUCUUUAGACUGAACGGUUUUCAGCCUAGGGCUUGGAUGUUAUAUUCCCUGGGAUUCACAUGCCCUAACUAAACCUACCUUGAUUUUCUCAGACAGCACAGGCAGGCAACGAAGCAUCACAGAUUGUCCCCUAACUUCAUCCAGCCGUGUGUAUGUGUGUGUGUUAUUCAAUGGGAUAGUAUUGAGCACAUGAAAGAAAUGAAUGACUUCUGUCAGUCUCUUUUCAUUCAGUCGUCUCAUUCUGUCAAUGUGUUCUCAUCCGUGAUGCCUCUGCCAGAACUGUGCUCACAUUCAUCAUUUAAGCCAGAUCUUUUUUAACUAUUAUGGAAGUGUAGGCACAUAGAAUAAAUAAAAACAGAUUUCAAACAAUGUUUCAUUCUUGCCCAUUGCUCAUGUUCUCUAUUAGGAAUCAAGGGUGAGAGGAGUGGUAUGUUCACAUUCCUUUCUGAGGUAAAUGUCUGUAUCUCCAUUUACAGGCAUGGAAACUGAGGCCUAGAGAAGAGAAAUAACUUGCCUAGGUUCCCACAGGAAGUGCAUGACGGAGCUGGGGUUGGCAUUCAAGUCCACCUGCCUCCAAAGCCCAUGCUCAGCCCCUGCUUCUUUUGUGGUGUCUUUUCGAGACAAAGGAGUAAAAACAACCUUAACUGAAGACAAAUGCCUGGUCAGACCAUUACCCGCUGUGAGGCAUCAGUUGCAGUGCUGUAAAGAGAGGAAGUUACACCAUCUCGAGUCAGAGGCUAUAGGAUGCGGAGGGGCGAGCCAUCCCAAAGACGUCUGGUGUGUUGACCUGGGUGAGAACUAUUGGCCACAACUUCAGAUUAGAUCCCAAAUAUGCUACUUUCUACCUACCUAUGGUGACUCUGGGUGCUCUGGUUUGGUUUGUUUGACUCCUGCAAACCUCAUGCUGAAAUUUGAUCUCCAGUGUUGAAGGUGGGUCUAAUAAGAGGCGAUUGGGUCGUGUGUGGGCGGAUCCUUCAUGAAUAGCUUGGUGGCGUCUUUGUGGUAAUGAGUGAGUUCUCACCCUUAGUUCCCAUGAGAGUUGGUUGUUACAAAGAGCCUGGCACCUCCCUGCCCUCUCUUUGCCUCCUCUCUUUCCUUACGGUCUCUGCACGCGCAGGCUCAUCCUCCCCUCUCCCACGAGUGGAAGCAGCCACAAGUCCUCACCAGAAGCAGAUAUUGGUGCCGUGCUUGUACAGCCCGCAGAACCAUGAGCCAAAUUAACCUCUUUUCUUUAUAAAUCACCCAGCCUCAGGUAUUCCUUUACAGCAACACAAAUAAACUCAGACACUGGAGAAGCCAUUUAAAUUAUCUAAGCCUCUGUAAAAUGAGGGAUAUGACUCUCUGCAGCUGAGAUGAGGAUUAGAAAUGAAAAUGAAGCACCCACUAAAAGGCCUGGUAUAAGGAAGGGCAAAUGGUAAUAAUGAGGUCUAGAUAGAUUACAAACUGAGUCAUACCCUCUAUUUUCUGUAUCUCUGGGUAAGUUACUCCCUGGGUCUCAGUUUAUAAUCUGUAACACAGGGAUUAGAACAAUAGCUACUGCUGUGGGUUGAAUUGUGUCCCGUGAAAGAAUAUGUUAAAGGCCUAACUCCAGGUGUCUGUGCUGUGACCUGUUGGGACGAGGGUCUUUGCAGGUGUGGUUAAGUCAGGAUGAGGACAUAGUGCAUUAGGAUGAGUUUUGAUCUAGUGUCUGGUGUCCUUAUAAGAAAAGGGAAAUUGAGAGAAGAGAGAAGAUGGAGGGAAGAACAAAAGCAGAGGUUGGGGUGAUGCAUCUACAAGCCAAGGAGCACCAAGGAUUGCUGGUGGCCACCAGAAGCCGGAGACAGAUUCUUCCUCAGAGCCUUCAAAAAAAAAAAAAAAAAAAAA
This is an RNA transcript of Piliocolobus tephrosceles (Ugandan red Colobus), 5287 nucleotides long. It is a transcript of the gene named rubicon like autophagy enhancer, with no coding region annotated. The record is from RefSeq and is a predicted model, not a curated record. NCBI's taxonomy places the organism in Eukaryota, Metazoa, Chordata, Mammalia, Primates, Cercopithecidae. The transcript has 17 exons.